RNAcentral lists this ribosomal RNA (433 nucleotides) under uncultured bacterium. Its description in RNAcentral is "partial 16S ribosomal RNA". It matches the Rfam family "Bacterial small subunit ribosomal RNA", at positions 29 to 507 of the family's 1533-position model. The record is from RNAcentral.
AACGAACGCUGGCGGCAUGCCUAACACAUGCAAGUCGAACGAGACCUUCGGGUCUAGUGGCGCACGGGUGCGUAACGCGGGGGAACCUGCCCUUAGGUUCGGAAUAACUCCCCGAAAGGGGUGCUAAUACCGGAUAAUGUCUUCCGACCAAAGAUUUAUCGCCUUUGGAUGGGCCCGCGUUGGAUUAGCUAGUUGGUAGGGUAAAAGCCUACCAAGGCGACGUUCCAUAGCUGGUCUGAGAGGAUGAUCAGCCACACUGGGACUGAGACACGGCCCAGACUCCUACGGGAGGCAGCAGUGGGGAAUAUUGGACAAUGGGCGAAAGCCUGAUCCAGCAAUGCCGCGUGAGUGAUGAAGGCCUUAGGGUUGUAAAGCUCUUUUACCCGGGAUGAUAAUGACAGUACCGGGAGAAUAAGCGCCGGCUAACUCCGUG